This is a non-coding RNA of Dendroctonus ponderosae (mountain pine beetle), 117 nucleotides long. The record is from Rfam. NCBI's taxonomy places the organism in Eukaryota, Metazoa, Arthropoda, Insecta, Coleoptera, Curculionidae.
GUCAGGGUGGCCGAGCGGUCUAAGGCGCCAGACUCAAGGUUCCCUUGCCCACUCUAUAGUGGGUGUUGAGCAUUCUGGUCCUCUUUGAGGGCGUGGGUUCGAAUCCCACUUCUGACA